RNAcentral lists this ribosomal RNA (253 nucleotides) under uncultured bacterium. RNAcentral describes it as "partial 16S ribosomal RNA". It matches the Rfam family "Bacterial small subunit ribosomal RNA", at positions 524 to 776 of the family's 1533-position model. The record is from RNAcentral.
UACGAAGGGUGCAAGCGUUACUCGGAAUUACUGGACGUAAAGCGUGCGUAGGUGGUUCGUUAAGUCUGAUGUGAAAGCCCUGGGCUCAACCUGGGAAUGGCAUUGGAAACUGGCGAUCUAGAGUGCGGUAGAGGGCAGUGGAAUUCCCGGUGUAGCAGUGAAAUGCGUAGAGAUCGGGAGGAACAUCUGUGGCGAAGGCGACUGCCUGGACCAGCACUGACACUGAGGCACGAAAGCGUGGGGAGCAAACAGG